GGAGAGGUGGCCGAGUGGCUUAAGGCGGCGGUCUUGAAAACCGUUGUGGGGAAACUCACCGGGGGUUCGAAUCCCUCCCUCUCCGCCA
This 88-nucleotide transfer RNA is filed under the name Nitrospirota bacterium. Its description in RNAcentral is "Nitrospirae bacterium tRNA-Ser". It matches the Rfam family "tRNA". From Rfam's summary of the family: Transfer RNA (tRNA) molecules are approximately 80 nucleotides in length. The record is from RNAcentral. RNAcentral also lists the same sequence under 1 other name. Lineage: Bacteria; Pseudomonadati; Nitrospirota.